Molecule: ribosomal RNA, 974 nt
Filed under: Caldimicrobium thiodismutans
Lineage: Bacteria; Pseudomonadati; Thermodesulfobacteriota; Thermodesulfobacteria; Thermodesulfobacteriales; Thermodesulfobacteriaceae
Description: bacterial SSU rRNA
Rfam family: Bacterial small subunit ribosomal RNA
Source: RNAcentral
CCUGAGGGUUUGAUCCUGGCUCAGGGCGAACGCUAGCGGCGCGCCUAACACAUGCAAGUCGUGCGGGAAAGGGUUUCGGCCCUAGUACCGCGGCAGACGGGUGAGUAACACGUGAGUAACCUGUCCUCGGGUCUGGGAUAACCAUCCGAAAGGAUGGCUAAUACCGGAUAAAGUCACUGGGCGCAAGCUCAGUGAUGAAAGGGGGCCUCUGCAUAGCAAGCUCCUGCCUGAGGAGGGGCUCGCGGCCCAUCAGCUAGUUGGUGGGGUAACGGCCCACCAAGGCUAUGACGGGUAGCCGGCCUGAGAGGGUGGUCGGCCACACGGGCACUGAGACACGGGCCCGACUCCUACGGGAGGCAGCAGUGGGGAAUCUUGGGCAAUGGGCGCAAGCCUGACCCAGCGACGCCGCGUGGGGGAAGAAGGCCUUCGGGUCGUAAACCCCUGUUCUGGGGGAAGAACCUGGCUGCGAUGAAUAAUCGCAGUCAGCUGACGGUACCCCAGGAGAAAGCCACGGCUAACUGCGUGCCAGCAGCCGCGGUAAUACGCAGGUGGCGAGCGUUGCCCGGAAUUACUGGGCGUAAAGGGUGCGUAGGCGGCAAAGUAAGUCACUGGUUAAAGCCCAGGGCUCAACCCUGGAAAGGCCAGUGAUACUGCUUUGCUUGAGGGCCGGAGAGGCUGGCGGAAUUCCCGGUGUAGGGGUGAAAUCCGUAGAUAUCGGGAGGAACACCGGUGGGGAAGCCGGCCAGCUGGACGGUUCCUGACGCUGAGGCACGAAAGCGUGGGGAGCAAACCGGAUUAGAUACCCGGGUAGUCCACGCCGUAAACGAUGGGUGCUUGGUCUGGGGAGGAAACUCUCUGGGCCGAAGCUAACGCGUUAAGCACCCCGCCUGGGGAGUACGGCCGCAAGGCUGAAACUCAAAGGAAUUGACGGGGGCCCGCACAAGCGGUGGAGCACGUGGUUUAAUUCGAUGCAA